AGCUCAGACCUCCAGUACUGAAUUGAAUAGAACUGGUGAAAGUAGUCAUGUUUGUCUUGUUCCUAAUCUUAAAAGAAAAGCUCUCAAUGUUUUACUAUUGGGAAUUCAUCCAGGUUAUCCAAUUAAUUGGCAUACAAUUGUUCCAGCCUACUCUGAAGCUACCACUAGUUAUGGGAUAGCACUACCACAAAAGUAGUGGCACAGUUAUGCAAGUUACACAACAGUACAGACGCUAAAACUCUGAGUUAAUGUCAUCUUUCUGAACAAAGAAAAUGUGUAAAAUGACCCGUCAUGCAAGACUGAGCGAAAUCACAAAAAGAAAAGAAUUAAAAAAUGGUAACUCCAAUUCUGAUGUGAGCUGACACAAAUUCUGGACUCCAUCCUGAGCUGUGCAAACACAGCAACACAUCCAAAGAACUAUGGUAAACUUUUUAAGAACUGAACUAUGGGGCAGCCCCGUUGGCUCAGCAGUUUAGCGCUGCCUUCGGUCCAGGGCCUGACCCUGGAGACCCGGGAUCGAGUCCCAUGUCGGGCUCCUUGAAUGAAGCCUAUUUCUCCCUCUGCCUGUGUCUCUGCCUCUCUCUCUCUCUCUCUGUGUGUCUCUCAUGAAUAAACAAAUUAAAAAAAAAAGAACUGAACUAUGAUAUAAAUAUUUCCCCAAAUCCCAGGCUAAAUCUUGAAUGAUGUAUGCAUCCAGCAAAUCUAGAUAGAGUAGGAAAGCCUUUCAACUGACUUUGAAGCUAUUUUGCACAGAAGGUGAGACAAAAUUUGUGGUAUGAACCUAACCAUAUUAUUAUUUGCUACAUUAUUAUAUGAACCAUUAUUAUUUGCUACAGCAAAUAACAACAACAACAAAAAACUAAAACAGUGUUCUCCAGGAAAUGCUAAAAGGAUCUAAAGCCUUAUAUCAUAGUAUUAAUAAUGUUAAAAAUAACUGGCACAAAAGCAGACACAUAGAUCAAUGGAACAGAAUAGAGAAACCAGUAAUGGACCUUCAAUUCUAUGAUCAACUAAUCUUC
Molecule: long non-coding RNA, 1019 nt
Organism: Canis lupus familiaris (dog)
Lineage: Eukaryota; Metazoa; Chordata; Mammalia; Carnivora; Canidae
Exons: 4
Source: RefSeq, a predicted model, not a curated record